GAUGAAGAACGUAGCGAGAUGCGAUAAGUAAUGUGAAUUGCAGAAUUCAGUGAAUCAUCGAAUCUUUGAACGCACAUUGCGCCCGCCAGUAUUCUGGCGGGCAUGCCUGUCUGAGCGUCAUUUCAACCCUCAUGCCCCUAGGGCGUGGUGUUGGGGAUCGGCCAAAGCCCGCGAGGGACGGCCGGCCCCUAAAUCUAGUGGCGGACCCGUCGUGGCCUCCUCUGCGAAGUAGUGAUAUUCCGCAUCGGAGAGCGACGAGCCCCUGCCGUUAAACCCCCAACUUUCCAAGGUUGACCUCAGAUCAGGUAGGAAUACCCGCUGAACUUAAGCAUAUCAAUAAGCGGAGGA
RNAcentral lists this unclassified non-coding RNA (348 nucleotides) under soil metagenome. Its description in RNAcentral is "partial contains 5.8S ribosomal RNA, internal transcribed spacer 2, and large subunit ribosomal RNA". The stretch from base 1 to 120 matches the Rfam family "5.8S ribosomal RNA", at positions 35 to 154 of the family's 154-position model. The record is from RNAcentral.